RNAcentral lists this ribosomal RNA (163 nucleotides) under uncultured bacterium. RNAcentral's name for it is "partial 16S ribosomal RNA". It matches the Rfam family "Bacterial small subunit ribosomal RNA", at positions 355 to 509 of the family's 1533-position model. The record is from RNAcentral.
UAGGGAAUUUUCGUCAAUGGGCGCAAGCCUGAACGAGCAAUGCCGCGUGAACGAGGAAGGUCUUCGGAUCGUAAAGUUCUGUUGAAGGGGAAAAAGAGCGGAGGAGAGGAAAUGGUCUCCGAUUGAUAUUACCCUUCGAGGAAGUCACGGCUAACUACGUGCC